AAGAAAUUCAACUCUUUGUAAAGACCUUCUUCUGAGAUGUGGAAUUGCCCCAGCAGCAUCUUGAUUAGAUCUCUGAGGAGAGCUCCUGAGUUCCUCAAGUUUCUCUCUUAUUUCAAUAAAUCCUAAGUGUAGUUUUCCUCCGAAGUGGUCAGCAAGACGUCGGUCAUUGUCAUGAAGACCAAGAUAAGCCGAACACACUUCACAAACCCGUAGCUUCUGCUGUUGAAAGCUAGAGGCAGGCAUAGAAUUCCUGUACACUUCUUCGGCUUCUCUCUUCUUUACCCGGGCCUUCUCCACUUCAUCCAUUACUUUUUGAGAUUCUUCCACAUUUCCAUCAGCUCCCAGCUGUUCUACUUUGGCCAGUAGUUUCCC
This 372-nucleotide long non-coding RNA is filed under the name Gallus gallus (chicken). Lineage: Eukaryota; Metazoa; Chordata; Aves; Galliformes; Phasianidae. The record is from RNAcentral.